Molecule: long non-coding RNA, 1253 nt
Filed under: Salvia miltiorrhiza (redroot sage)
Lineage: Eukaryota; Viridiplantae; Streptophyta; Magnoliopsida; Lamiales; Lamiaceae
Description: long non-coding RNA (SMIL_LNC007014)
Source: RNAcentral
UCUCCUUAUCGAUGCACACCCUUUCACGUCUCCCGGUUAUGACGGCGGUGGGAAUGGGGUGCUUCUCGGCAUGGCGGCAAGGGUCAUACUUGGAGGGGAAAUAAUUCACCUCCUCAUCCCUAUGCAUGAAGUUCAUGAAGCCAUCAUGGUGGUUGUUGCGAUGGGGGCAUUUCGGGCAUUCACCGGCAGCAUCAGGUGGUUGGGCCCAAGCCUAUGGCGCUGCGUGUCUCCAUACGCAAAAGUCCGGCAUUGAAGCAUCUUGUCGUUGGAGAAGUAAAUCCCGGGCACGAUGACGGAGGGAUUGAAGGCCAGCUGCUCAUUCUCCGUGAAGAAAUUGUCAAUGUUCUUGUUGAGCACCAUCCUCCCCACGGGCUGCAGGGCAGGAUGUCCUCCGGCCACGUCAGCGUCACGUCCAGCGGGUCGAAGUCGAACUUGUCCUCGUCCGCCGGGUCCAUGAUCUGGAUGAACAGCUUCCACUCGGGGAAGUUGCCGGCGGUGAUGGAGUCGUACAGAUCCUUGGUGGCGUGGCUGUGGUUGGCGCCGCCGAUCACCUUGGCCUCCUCGUCCGAGAGGCACUUGAUGCCGCAGGUGGGCUUCCAGUGGAACUUCACGUAGUUGACCUUGCCGGCCUUGUUGAUGAGGGUGAAGGUGUGCACGCCGAAGCCCUCCAUGUGCCGGUAGUCCUGCGGGAUGCCGUAGUCGUCGAAGAAGAAGGUGAAGGUGUUGAGGCUCUCCGGGAUGUGGGAGAAGAAGUCCAGGUAACGCCAUGUUUCCUGGAUGUGGGAUUUCGGGUUCGGUUUCAUCGCGUGGAUCAGGUCCGGGAACUUCAUCCCGUCCCGGAUGAAGAACACCGGGAUGUUGUUUCCCACCAUGUCGAAGUUUCCCUAAUCAAUAAAUUAAACAAACACCAAUUUGGUCAUUGUUGAGCUAUUUUUUAAUUUUUCUUUUUAGCAAAUCAUUUGAGCUAAUAUGUACCUCUCUGGUGUAGAAUUUGAUGGCGAAACCCCGAGGGUCCCGAAGGGUUUCGGGGCUGCCGCGUUCGUGGAUGACGGUGGAGAAGCGGAUGAUGAGCGGGGUUUGAACGCCCGGUGCUCGGAGGAAAUCGGCGCAAGUGAGGUGAGAGAUGUCAUGAGUGACCUCGAAGAAUCCCUUGGCGCUCGCACCUCUCGCGUGGACAACACGCUCCGGGAUCCUCUCCCGGGCGAAGUUAGCAACUUUCUCUACCAAAUGGUAGUCCUCCAGGAGGAUGGGGC